AAAAAAGUGAUGAUAAGGAAGAGUAGAUAUAAGCCUCUUUUCAGCGAGUUGAGGACUGGUGCGAGCUCAAUACUGCAGGUUAUAUCGAAAGACACCUUUGAGCUUGCAGUCUGAAAGCCAUCGUAGGACUGCACGUAGUUCGGCGUUAACGAAUUGGAGUGGGAAUUUCCAAAAAGGGUGGCACCGCGGGAUAUAAACUUCUCGUCCCUAUG
Molecule: non-coding RNA, 212 nt
Filed under: Thermotalea metallivorans
Lineage: Bacteria; Bacillati; Bacillota; Clostridia; Peptostreptococcales; Thermotaleaceae
Description: T-box sequence
Rfam family: T-box leader
About the family: Uncharged tRNA acts as the effector for transcription antitermination of genes in the T-box leader family.
Source: RNAcentral